This 1571-nucleotide long non-coding RNA is filed under the name Eucalyptus grandis. Its description in RNAcentral is "long non-coding RNA (EGRA_LNC000046)". Lineage: Eukaryota; Viridiplantae; Streptophyta; Magnoliopsida; Myrtales; Myrtaceae. The record is from RNAcentral.
UAAGAGAUCAGCCCAUUCUUGCAGUCUUCAAGCCCAAUUGAAAAUUCACAGCAACAGGCCCAUCCAGUUCAGCUUAUUCAAUUGAAUUGAAGCCCAAAUUUUCCAGCACUUGAAGCCCAAAUCAGUGAGGUCCAGCAGCCCGCUUUGCAAGCCCAGUCCAAGAGCAAGCCCAUUCCAGUGCAAGAACAAAUCUCAAUUGGGCUGAGAUUUGUUAGGCCAAGCUUAAGGCCCGGUCCAAGUCCGCCGGUGUCGUCGAAAGUUCAAUUUCGGCCGCCGUCGCGUUGCCGUUGCGGUGAUUCGAUCUCCGUUUUUAAUCAAGUGAGUUUUACUCACUAAUGCUUUAUUAGUUUGCUAAUUAUGCUUAAGGUUGGUUAGAUUUAAUUAAGUGCACUUAGGUGGUUAGAUUAGGUUAGAACAAUUAGUUUAGUGACUUAAUGAUGCAUGUUAGGUGGUUAGACCUAGCUAUUAGCAAGUAGAAAUGUUUGGUUAUUUAUUGAAUGCAUCUCGGGAUUUUUCCCGACCCGUUUCGGGCUCCAAUAAGGCAAUAUAGGCCUAAAUUGGAUUUUUAAUGUUUAUUUAUUUAUUUUCGAAAUUUAUUUAUUUAAUUAAUUAUUUUUCCGGAAAUUCAACCGGGAUGGCCGGUGACCGGAAUUUCGUGCCGAUUGUCGUGGUGCAGACCGUUUAUUUAUUUGAGCUCUAUGUUGUGUGGAAUUGAAUUUAUUGUGGAAUUUUAGGAAUUGUCCUAAAUUGUUUGUUAUUGAAUAUUUGAUUGGUAAAGGGCCAAGCAUGGGUAUAUAGCGCCAGUACGUUGAUGGGCUAUAUAGUAGGGAGAAUGGUGAGACCAAUUAGGUACAAUAUUAUUGGACAUACGUGGUUCGGUGAUUGGAAGUAUCACUGGCGAAAACGGCGCCUUAAAGAACGCACGUGAAUGACUUAUAGACAAACGUGGUUCGGUGAUUAUGGGAAUAUCACUGGUGAAAACGGCGCCUUAAAGAACGCACGAUGUUGUCUAUAGCCGAUGUCACCUUGGCGAAAACGACGCCCUUAAAAGGACACGUGGUUCGGUGAUCAAGGUUAUCACUGGUGAAAACGGCGCCUUAAAGAACGCACGGUGUCGGUGAUCGGUAUGUCAUUGGCGAAAACGACGCCCGAGAAACACAUGUGAUUUGGUGAAUGAGUACACCACUGAGAAAGUGUGGUAUGAGUGGGAAUGACCUAGAAAGGGUCUGGCUGACAUGUAAUCGACUUAGUCGAUUGAUCAAUGCUUGAUCGGAUGUCGUGAAUUGUUUGAAUAUCUGUGUUUAACCUUGAAUUGCAGGUUGGAACUGAGGCCAAGGUAAGUCCUUUGACUCGUGUUGUGCUUAGGCAACCGUAUGGCGUAUUAGUUUAUUAAUCGGGUCUUAGUGGGUAGGACUCGCUGAGACGUGGUCUCAUUGGUUAUUGAAUAACCAUUUCAGGACCCUGAGGAGGAGCUAAGGAAGAGGAACCUGAAGGGGAGAAAGUAUUUUGAAGUAGAAGAUGAUCCAGAGAGGGAUCUUGAAAAUAACCCAGAUGUGGAUUGGGAUCCCAUC